CCGCCCGUCACACCAUGGGAGUUGAUUGCACCAGAAGCAGGUAGCCUGACCGCAACGGAGGGCGCUUACCACGGUGUGGUCCAAUGACUGGGGUG
This 95-nucleotide ribosomal RNA is filed under the name uncultured bacterium. RNAcentral describes it as "partial 16S ribosomal RNA". The record is from RNAcentral.